UGCGGAGGAUCAUUACCGAAUUGUCGACAUGAAGUUGUUGCUGGCCCUCAGAAGGGGGCAUGUGCACGCUCUGUUUACACAUCCACUCACACCUGUGCACUCUCUGUAGUUCUAUGGUCUGGGGGCACUCAGCCCUCCUACUGUGGUUCUGCGUAUUUACACACACACGCUGUAAUAAAGUCUUAUGGGAUGUAUUUCGCGUUUAACGCAAUGCAAUACAACUUUCAGCAACGGAUCUCUUGGCUCUCGCAUCGAUGAAGAACGCAGCGAAAUGCGAUAAGUAAUGUGAAUUGCAGAAUUCAGUGAAUCAUCGAAUCUUUGAACGCACCUUGCGCCCUUUGGCCAUUCCGAAGGGCAUGCCUGUUUGAGUAUCAUGAACACCUCAACUCCUCAUGGCUUGCCAUGACGAGCUUGGACUUUGGGGGACUUGCUGGCCUGCGAUCAGCUCCUCUCAAAUGAAUCAGCUUGCCAGUGUUUGGUGGCACCACAGGUGUGAUAAACAUCUACUCUUGUGGUCACUCCACCAUGUAACCUUCAGUGAUGGAGGUUCACUGGAGCUCACAAAUGUCUUUCCUCAGUGAAGACAGCUCUCGAUUGUUUGAUCUCAAAUCAGGUAGGACUACCCGCUGAACUUAAGCAUAUCAAUAAGCGGA
This 653-nucleotide small RNA is filed under the name uncultured fungus. Its description in RNAcentral is "eukaryotic LSU rRNA". The stretch from base 220 to 374 matches the Rfam family "5.8S ribosomal RNA". The record is from RNAcentral. Lineage: Eukaryota; Fungi.